Molecule: ribosomal RNA, 447 nt
Filed under: uncultured bacterium
Lineage: Bacteria
Description: bacterial SSU rRNA
Rfam family: Bacterial small subunit ribosomal RNA
Source: RNAcentral
UCGGGAAUUUUGGGCAAUGGGCGAAAGCCUGACCCAGCAACGCCGCGUGAAGGAUGAAGUCUCUCGGGAUGUAAACUUCGUAAGAAUAGGAAGAAUAAAUGACGGUACUAUUUGUAAGGUCCGGCUAACUACGUGCCAGCAGCCGCGGUAAUACGUAGGGACCAAGCGUUGUUCGGAUUUACUGGGCGUAAAGGGCGCGUAGGCGGUGUGUCAAGUCAGUUGUGAAAUCUCCGAGCUUAACUCGGAACGGUCAACUGAUACUGUCACACUAGAGUACAGAAGGGGCAAUCGGAAUUCUUGGUGUAGCGGUGAAAUGCGUAGAUAUCAAGAGGAACACCUGAGGCGAAGGCGGGUUGCUGGGCUGAUACUGACGCUGAGGCGCGAAAGCUAGGGUAGCAAACGGGAUUAGAUACCCUUGUAGUCCCUGAGCGGGCUGGCAAGGCGCAU